This is a long non-coding RNA of Oncorhynchus keta (chum salmon), 793 nucleotides long. RefSeq lists it as uncharacterized. The record is from RefSeq and is a predicted model, not a curated record. NCBI's taxonomy places the organism in Eukaryota, Metazoa, Chordata, Actinopteri, Salmoniformes, Salmonidae. The transcript is spliced from 3 exons.
ACAUCUGUUGUUCUGCCUCUGAACAAGGCAGUUUAACCCACUGUUACUAGGACGUCAUUGUUAAUAAGAUAGCCUAGUGGUUAGAACCAGGUAGCCUAGUGGUUAGAACCAGGUAGCCUAGUGGUUAGAACCAGGUAGCCUAGUGGUUAGAACCAGGUAGCCUAGUGGUUAGAGGAGGCAGGUAGCCUAGUGGUUAGAGGAGGCAGGUAGCCUAGUGGUUAGAGGAGGCAGGUAGCCUAGUGGUUAGAGGAGGCAGGUAGCCUAGUGGUUAGAGGAGGCAGGUAGCCUAGUGGUUAGAGGAGGCAGGUAGCCUAGUGGUUAGAGGAGGCAGGUAGCCUAGUGGUUAGAGGAGGCAGGUAGCCUAGUGGUUAGAGGAGGCAGGUAGCCUAGUGGUUAGAGGAGGCAGGUAGCCUAGUGGUUAGAGGAGGCAGGUAGCCUAGUGGUUAGAGGCAGGUAGCCUAGUGGUUAGAGGCAGGUAGCCUAGUGGUUAGAGGCAGGUAGCCUAUUGGUUAGAGGAGGCAGGUAGCCUUUUGGUUAGAGGAAGCAGGUAGCCUAGUGGUUAGAGGCAGGUAACCUAGUGGUUAGAGGAGGCAGGUAGCCUAGUGGUUAGAACCAGGUAGCCUAGUGGUUAGAGCAUUGGGCCAGUAACCGAAAGGUAAAAAUCUGUUCUGCCCCUGAACAAGGCAGUUGUUCCUCGGACGUCAUUGUUAAUAAGAAUUUGUUCUUAACUGACUUGCCUAGUUAAAUAAAAAAUACUGACAAAGCCAAUAACAGGAUUCUCACAAGUUCCAGU